GCCGGGGUGGUGGAAUGGCAGACACGGCGCACUCAAAAUGCGUUGCCGCAAGGCGUGCGGGUUCAAGUCCCGCCCUCGGCA
RNAcentral lists this transfer RNA (81 nucleotides) under Nostocoides jenkinsii. RNAcentral describes it as "tRNA-Leu". It matches the Rfam family "tRNA". Rfam says of the family: Transfer RNA (tRNA) molecules are approximately 80 nucleotides in length. Their secondary structure includes four short double-helical elements and three loops (D, anti-codon, and T loops). Lineage: Bacteria; Bacillati; Actinomycetota; Actinomycetes; Micrococcales; Intrasporangiaceae. RNAcentral also lists the same sequence under 1 other name. The record is from RNAcentral.